GACUUAUUUCCCCGAGGAGGUAUUUCUCGCACACACCUGGAAGCCACAAUGUCAUCCGUGAAGGGAGUCGGCUCUUAUAUUUUUGUGUUUUUUGAAGCGAAUUAUCCUGUUGCCGAGGGAGCCAUGCAUCUGGAAACGGCUGGGGAAGGAGACGGUGGCUGAGUGGUUAGCGUGCCGGUCCUGUGUUCGCCGCGUCAUGGAUGAUGAGGGUUUGAACCCGCCGCUUCCACCCGGCGAGUGGCCACAGACUACUUGUCCUGAAGACCACCACCAUCAUCCUGGACUGUAUGGGACUGUCCAAGGGAAAGCAAGACAGCAUGAGCCAAGAAUAGAUGGGGUCGCUAUAAACAUUUGCCGGCUUGGGCCCACCACCAGGCCCAACCGAGGGAGGUUGGUGUAGCAGUGCCGGAGGUGCCAUAACACAGGGCACUCCUCACCUCAACAACAGUCUCUUCACCGACAAGUAAUUCUUCACCAACAAGCUUUUCAGCAGCUUGGAGAAAUAGAGACAAGAGGAGGAGGAGGAAGAAGAGGAGGAGGAAGAAGAGGAGGAGGAGGACUUUGAAGACUGACAGACAGACAUCAUUCCAGUGAUGAAAGAGGAAGAGGAAGAGGAAGAGGAGGAGGAGGAGGACACAGGAAUUUCUUGAAUUGAACGGACAUCUCGGUCUGCCUGCGGGACACCGCACACUCUGGAAGAAGAAAGAACACCAAGAUGUCAAGUUCCUGCAGAAUCAGCCUCUUAGUGAAGGAAAUGUGCUCUAUUUAUUUAAUAAAUGAUUGACAAAAAAAUAA
This is a long non-coding RNA of Eriocheir sinensis (Chinese mitten crab), 795 nucleotides long. RefSeq lists it as uncharacterized. NCBI's taxonomy places the organism in Eukaryota, Metazoa, Arthropoda, Malacostraca, Decapoda, Varunidae. The record is from RefSeq and is a predicted model, not a curated record. The transcript is spliced from 6 exons.